AAAGUCGUAACAAGGUUUCCGUAGGUGAACCUGCGGAAGGAUCAUUAUUGAAUCCAAAGGAUGUUGCUGGCCUUUCGGGGCAUGUGCACUCCACCUUUUCAAUACACCUGUGAACUUAUUGUAGGUGCAGACGUGCCUAUGUUUUUAACACACCCUUAAUAAAAAGUCUAUUGAAUGUCUGAUUGUGGCCUUUGAUGGUCAACAAACUUAAUACAACUUUCAACAAUGGAUCUCUUGGUUCUC
This 243-nucleotide unclassified non-coding RNA is filed under the name Basidiomycota sp. Its description in RNAcentral is "partial contains small subunit ribosomal RNA, internal transcribed spacer 1, and 5.8S ribosomal RNA". The stretch from base 1 to 47 matches the Rfam family "Eukaryotic small subunit ribosomal RNA", at positions 1785 to 1831 of the family's 1831-position model. The record is from RNAcentral. Lineage: Eukaryota; Fungi; Basidiomycota.